UAACAUUCUACAUUGAACUAAAGUUUAUGUGUAAUUUUAAGAUUUAUCCCUAUUUUAAAUUAUUAAAAUUUAAAAUUUAAAAUUAUUGAUUGCUUUUGUAGCACGUGUUUCCUGUAAACUCUUGUAGCAUGUUCUCUUCUCUUUUUUUUUUCUUUAAUUGCUUGUGUUAUUAUUAUUAUUAUUUUUUUGUCACUUCUCCUACCGAGUUUUCAAUGGAGAAUGAGAUAGCAUGUUUAUCUAUUGAUGAUGGGGAAGGAGGCUGGCAGGUUAAUUUGGAAGGUGAGUUCAGUUCAAACUUUGAGUUUUGCCUAGUGGGCAGGUUUUUAAUUGCAAUUAUUAUUUAUUUCUAGCCCAUGCGCAACACUUUGGCGAACCUAUGGCAUUUUAUAAAGGCUGUGGCUAUUAUUGAUAUUGGAGAUAACAUAUUUAUGUUUAGAUUUUUCUAUGAGUUAGAUGUCCCAUGUAAUUUUCUUAGUUGAGACUAAACUACAAGCAUCGAAAAUGGUUAAGGUGCGUAAUAAGCUUGGUUUUGUUCAAGGUCUGGAUGUUAAGCAAAUGAAUUAAGAGGAGGGGAGAUAGGGCUAUAUUGAAGACGACCAUGAAGGAAACUCGCGGAUAUUUAAUGGAUGUGUAAACAACAAUUUUUUUGGACCAAUUAUAAAGCGUUAUGUGUUAUGUAAUAGGCCCAUUUUGCCCAGGCCCAUACCAAAACUAAAAUAAAAAAUGCAAAACAAAAUAACAAAAUAAAAUCCAAUAAUAAGUGUUCAUAGUCCAUUUACAACAACCCAACAACUAAACCAAGCCCAAAUAAACCCUAACACAAAUUGGCCCAAAAUAUAAAAUUUCUAGAAAACCCUAGCACCAUCCUUCGCGCCGCAACAACUUUCAGCAGCCUCCAGCAUCGCUGUUGCCUCCGUGCCAGCCCCAUGUGUGCCUUCUUCGUCGUUGCCACGUGCGCCAUCAUCCAACUGGCUCCGUUCGUACCUGCAACAAAAUAACAACCCACAACAGACUGACAACAAAAGGAAAAUUGCUUGUAUUUUUAUUAUGAUUAUUAUUCUUUUUUUUUCUUUAUUCUGCUAUGAAAAGCCAGAAAAACGAUGUAAAUGGGAUCUUUUUUCAGAGAAAUACGAAACCAAACGCAUACAAAUCUAUAUAGAAAACAACAGUUUUCAAGUGGUAAUUUUAAAUCUCAUUUUUCUUUUCAUUUUGCUUUUAUCUUUUUGAUUUUUGUUAUUGUAUGAGUAAAAAAAUAAAAAUAAAUGAAAGGGAAGAUACUUAUCUCGAUAAAGGCCCUCGAAUCCUUGUUUGCUUCGUAGAAAUCGGAGCUCAAAUAAGGAUUGUGAGGUUUAAGAAUAGCAAAACUCUCGGAUUCGUGGUCGAACAGGGCCAGAUUAGGACCGUCUGCCGAAUAUGAUGGCGGAGUGACGGAUAGGCGAAGAACUAUCUGAUUCGGCCGAAUAUGAGAGAUAUGAAGCUUAGAUUUUUUGUUUUGAUUUUGAUUAAAGUGAUUAGUGGUUUAUUUUAGGGUUUUU
Molecule: long non-coding RNA, 1535 nt
Filed under: Gossypium barbadense (sea-island cotton)
Lineage: Eukaryota; Viridiplantae; Streptophyta; Magnoliopsida; Malvales; Malvaceae
Description: long non-coding RNA (GBAR_LNC023122)
Source: RNAcentral